This 406-nucleotide ribosomal RNA is filed under the name uncultured bacterium. RNAcentral's name for it is "partial 16S ribosomal RNA". It matches the Rfam family "Bacterial small subunit ribosomal RNA", at positions 30 to 526 of the family's 1533-position model. The record is from RNAcentral.
AUUGAACGCUGGCGGCAGGCCUAACACAUGCAAGUCGAACGAGUGGCGGACGGGUGAGUAGUGUCUGGGCAACUGCCUUAUGGUGGGGGAUAACUACUGGAAACGGUAGCUAAUACCGCAUCCCAUCAGAUGUCCCCAGAUGGGAUUGGCUUGUUGGUGGGGUAACGACUUACCAGGGCGAGGAUCCCGAGCUGGUCUGAGAGGCUGACCAGCCACACUGGAGCUGAGCCACGGUCCAGACGCCUACGGUAGGCAGCAGUGGGGAAUAGUACACAGUGGGCGCAAGCCUGAUGCAGCCAUGCCGCGUGUAUGAAGGAGGCCUUCGGGUUGUAAAGUACUUUCAGCGGGGAGGCGUUACCCGCAGAAGAAGCACCGGCUAACUCCGUGCCAGCAGCCGCGGUAAUAC